RNAcentral lists this ribosomal RNA (253 nucleotides) under uncultured bacterium. RNAcentral describes it as "partial 16S ribosomal RNA". It matches the Rfam family "Bacterial small subunit ribosomal RNA", at positions 524 to 776 of the family's 1533-position model. The record is from RNAcentral.
UACGUAGGGGGCAAGCGUUGUCCGGAAUUAUUGGGCGUAAAGAGCGUGUAGGCGGUUAGGUAGGUCUGUUGUGAAAACUCGAGGCUCAACCUCGAGACGCCGAUGGAAACCAUCUGACUAGAGUUCGGAAGAGGAGAGUGGAAUUCCUGGUGUAGCGGUGAAAUGCGCAGAUAUCAGGAAGAACACCCGUGGCUAAGGCGGCUCUCUGGGACGGUACUGACGCUGAGACGCGAAAGCGUGGGGAGCGAACAGG